RNAcentral lists this long non-coding RNA (570 nucleotides) under Gallus gallus (chicken). RNAcentral describes it as "long non-coding RNA NONGGAT008696". Lineage: Eukaryota; Metazoa; Chordata; Aves; Galliformes; Phasianidae. The record is from RNAcentral.
GGGACAGCAAGCAUGGAGAUUUAAGUCAGAGGAAGACCAACUGUCACUGCAGAGGGGAAAGGGCAUGAGAAUGAGCACUGCAAGAAAAAAAAAUCAUCAAAAAAUUCCUCCUUCUCUGGGAUGAAUACAGGGGAGUAAAUGUGUUCCUACAAAAAUUGAAUUAUGUAGUGAUUUUAAAUAUGGUGUGAGAAUGAAGGACAUAUGAGCUGCAACGAGAGAACCAAAGAGGAAUUAUGUGAUGUGUUCAGGCUGGGAGUGUGCCUCACAUGACAACAGGAAGAGAGGAAAGGUGGAGGAAAAAAAGAUCAGAAUCUACUCUAUUCUGAGCCAUUAAUGUCAGCCAUGUUGAUGUUUUGUAGCUAGUUAUAUUUGCUGAUGGUUCCCACGCACUCAUGACAUUCAACUUUGCAUCAUCCCCUAAAAACUGGAAAGAUGUCUCUCUGAGAAUGACCUAUAGCUUUGAUAUCACCAUAACUAAUUUCCUUUUCCUAAAGUAAUGGUGCCUACUCUUGAGGAGCAGAAUGCUGUGAGCUUUUAUUUCCAGUCUGAGGAUAGUUCUGUGAUAGGUGG